UGUUUCGGCUAGGGGGCCAUCCCGGCUUACCAACCCGAUGCAAACUGCGAAUACCGGAGAAUGUUAUCACGGGAGACACACGGCGGGUGCUAACGUCCGUCGUGAAGAGGGAAACAACCCAGACCGCCAGCUAAGGUCCCAAAGUCAUGGUUAAGUGGGAAACGAUGUGGGAAGGCCCAGACAGCCAGGAUGUUGGCUUAGAAGCAGCCAUCAUUUAAAGAAAGCGUAAUAGCUCACUGGUCGAGUCGGCCUGCGCGGAAGAUGUAACGGGGCUAAACCAUGCACCGAAGCUGCGGCAGCGACACUCAGGUGUUGUUGGGUAGGGGAGCGUUCUGUAAGCCUGUGAAGGUGUGUCGUGAGGCAUGCUGGAGGUAUCAGAAGUGCGAAUGCUGACAUAAGUAACGAUAAAGCGGGUGAAAAGCCCGCUCGCCGGAAGACCAAGGGUUCCUGUCCAACGUUAAUCGGGGCAGGGUGAGUCGACCCCUAAGGCGAGGCCGAAAGGCGUAGUCGAUGGGAAACGGGUUAAUAUUCCCGUACUUGGUGUUACUGCGAAGGGGGGACGGAGAAGGCUAUGUUGGCCGGGCGACGGUUGUCCCGGUUUAAGCGUGUAGGUGUGUGUUCCAGGUAAAUCCGGUUCACUUUAACACUGAGGCGUGACGACGAGGCACUACGGUGCUGAAGCAACAAAUGCCCUGCUUCCAGGAAAAGCCUCUAAGCAUCAGGUAACAUCAAAUCGUACCCCAAACCGACACAGGUGGUCAGGUAGAGAAUACCAAGGCGCUUGAGAGAACUCGGGUGAAGGAACUAGGCAAAAUGGUGCCGUAACUUCGGGAGAAGGCACGCUGACACGUAGGUGAAGUGAUUUACUCAUGGAGCUGAAGUCAGUCGAAGAUACCAGCUGGCUGCAACUGUUUAUUAAAAACACAGCACUGUGCAAACACGAAAGUGGACGUAUACGGUGUGACGCCUGCCCGGUGCCGGAAGGUUAAUUGAUGGGGUCAGCGCAAGCGAAGCUCCUGAUCGAAGCCCCGGUAAACGGCGGCCGUAACUAUAACGGUCCUAAGGUAGCGAAAUUCCUUGUCGGGUAAGUUCCGACCUGCACGAAUGGCGUAAUGAUGGCCAGGCUGUCUCCACCCGAGACUCAGUGAAAUUGAACUCGCUGUGAAGAUGCAGUGUACCCGCGGCAAGACGGAAAGACCCCGUGAACCUUUACUAUAGCUUGACACUGAACAUUGAGCCUUGAUGUGUAGGAUAGGUGGGAGGCUUUGAAGCGUGGACGCCAGUCUGCGUGGAGCCGACCUUGAAAUACCACCCUUUAAUGUUUGAUGUUCUAACGUGGACCCGUAAUCCGGGUUGCGGACAGUGUCUGGUGGGUAGUUUGACUGGGGCGGUCUCCUCCUAAAGAGUAACGGAGGAGCACGAAGGUUGGCUAAUCCUGGUCGGACAUCAGGAGGUUAGUGCAAUGGCAUAAGCCAGCUUGACUGCGAGCGUGACGGCGCGAGCAGGUGCGAAAGCAGGUCAUAGUGAUCCGGUGGUUCUGAAUGGAAGGGCCAUCGCUCAACGGAUAAAAGGUACUCCGGGGAUAACAGGCUGAUACCGCCCAAGAGUUCAUAUCGACGGCGGUGUUUGGCACCUCGAUGUCGGCUCAUCACAUCCUGGGGCUGAAGUAGGUCCCAAGGGUAUGGCUGUUCGCCAUUUAAAGUGGUACGCGAGCUGGGUUUAGAACGUCGUGAGACAGUUCGGUCCCUAUCUGCCGUGGGCGCUGGAGAACUGAGGGGGGCUGCUCCUAGUACGAGAGGACCGGAGUGGACGCAUCACUGGUGUUCGGGUUGUCAUGCCAAUGGCACUGCCCGGUAGCUAAAUGCGGAAGAGAUAAGUGCUGAAAGCAUCUAAGCACGAAACUUGCCCCGA
This 1911-nucleotide ribosomal RNA is filed under the name Salmonella enterica subsp. enterica serovar Abony. RNAcentral describes it as "partial 23S ribosomal RNA". It matches the Rfam family "Bacterial large subunit ribosomal RNA", at positions 911 to 2802 of the family's 2925-position model. The record is from RNAcentral. Lineage: Bacteria; Pseudomonadati; Pseudomonadota; Gammaproteobacteria; Enterobacterales; Enterobacteriaceae.